GGUCCGCUGGCUCAAUGGCAGAGCGUCUGACUACGAUGAGUAAUCAGGAGGUUCCAGGUUCGACCCCUGGGUGGAUCG
Non-coding RNA from Parachaetomium inaequale, 78 nucleotides. NCBI's taxonomy places the organism in Eukaryota, Fungi, Ascomycota, Sordariomycetes, Sordariales, Chaetomiaceae. The record is from the annotation of a GenBank genome assembly.